UACGUAGGGUCCGAGCGUUGUCCGGAAUUAUUGGGCGUAAAGAGCUCGUAGGCGGUCUGUCACGUCGACUGUGAAAUCCCGAGGCUCAACCUCGGGCCUGCAGUCGAUACGGGCAGACUAGAGUUCGGUAGGGGAGACUGGAAUUCCUGGUGUAGCGGUGAAAUGCGCAGAUAUCAGGAGGAACACCGGUGGCGAAGGCGGGUCUCUGGGCAGAAACUGACGCUGAGGAGCGAAAGCGUGGGGAGCGAACAGG
This 253-nucleotide ribosomal RNA is filed under the name uncultured bacterium. RNAcentral's name for it is "partial 16S ribosomal RNA". It matches the Rfam family "Bacterial small subunit ribosomal RNA", at positions 524 to 776 of the family's 1533-position model. The record is from RNAcentral.